GGACUACUGGGGUAUCUAAUCCUGUUCGCUCCCCUAGCUUUCGCACCUGAGCGUCAGUUACCAGCCAGGACACUGCCUUCGCCUUUGGUAUUCCUCCGGAUAUCUACGCAUUUCACCACUCCACCCGGAAUUCUAUGUCCCUCUCUGGUCCUCAAGUCAAGCAGUUUUCAGAGGCCUUGCUCAGUUAAGCCGAGCACUGUCACUCCAAACUUACCCAACCGCCUGCGUGCGCUUUACGCCCAAUAAAUCCGGACAACGCUUGCCCCCUACGUAUUACCGCGGCUGCUGGCAC
This 292-nucleotide ribosomal RNA is filed under the name uncultured bacterium. Its description in RNAcentral is "partial 16S ribosomal RNA". The record is from RNAcentral.